Molecule: transfer RNA, 74 nt
Filed under: Bacteroidales bacterium
Lineage: Bacteria; Pseudomonadati; Bacteroidota; Bacteroidia; Bacteroidales
Description: tRNA-Thr
Rfam family: tRNA
About the family: Transfer RNA (tRNA) molecules are approximately 80 nucleotides in length. Their secondary structure includes four short double-helical elements and three loops (D, anti-codon, and T loops).
Source: RNAcentral
GCAGAUAUAGUUUAAUGGCAGAACUCCGGAUUUGUAACCCGGUAAUACAAGUUCGACUCUUGUUAUCUGCUCCA